MicroRNA precursor from Chinchilla lanigera (long-tailed chinchilla), 105 nucleotides. The record is from Ensembl. Lineage: Eukaryota; Metazoa; Chordata; Mammalia; Rodentia; Chinchillidae.
GUCUGCGUCACUCAUGGUAUUUGAAGAUGCGGUUGACCAUGGUGUGUACGCUUAAUUUAUGACGUAGGACACAUGGUCUACUUCUUCUCAAUAUCACAUCUCACC